GACGAACGCUGGCGGCGUGCUUAACACAUGCAAGUCGAACGGAAAGGCCCUGCUUUUGUGGGGUGCUCGAGUGGCGAACGGGUGAGUAACACGUGAGUAACCUGCCCUUGACUUUGGGAUAACUUCAGGAAACUGGGGCUAAUACCGUAUAGGAGCUCCUGCUGCAUGGUGGGGGUUGGAAAUUUUCGGCGGUGUGGGAUGGACUCGCGGCUUAUCAGCUUGUUGGUGGGGUAGUGGCUUACCAAGGCUUUGACGGGUAGCCGGCCUGGGAGGGUGACCGGCCACAUGGGGACUGAGAUACGGCCCAGACUCCUACGGGAGGCAGCAGUGGGGAAUAUUACACAAUGGGAGGAAGCCUGAUGCAGCAACGCCGCGUUCGGGAUGCCGGCCUUCGGGUUGUAAACCGCUUUCGCCUGUGACGAAGCGUGAGUGACGGUAAUGGGUAAAGAAGCACCGGCUAACUACGUG
This 468-nucleotide ribosomal RNA is filed under the name uncultured bacterium. Its description in RNAcentral is "partial 16S ribosomal RNA". It matches the Rfam family "Bacterial small subunit ribosomal RNA", at positions 28 to 507 of the family's 1533-position model. The record is from RNAcentral.